RNAcentral lists this ribosomal RNA (2900 nucleotides) under Klebsiella pneumoniae. Its description in RNAcentral is "bacterial LSU rRNA". It matches the Rfam family "Bacterial large subunit ribosomal RNA". Lineage: Bacteria; Pseudomonadati; Pseudomonadota; Gammaproteobacteria; Enterobacterales; Enterobacteriaceae. The record is from RNAcentral.
UUAAGCGACUAAGCGUACACGGUGGAUGCCCUGGCAGUCAGAGGCGAUGAAGGACGUGCUAAUCUGCGAAAAGCGUCGGUAAGGUGAUAUGAACCGUUAUAACCGGCGAUGUCCGAAUGGGGAAACCCAGUGCAAUUCGUUGCACUAUCGUUAACUGAAUACAUAGGUUAACGAGGCGAACCGGGGGAACUGAAACAUCUAAGUACCCCGAGGAAAAGAAAUCAACCGAGAUUCCCCCAGUAGCGGCGAGCGAACGGGGAGCAGCCCAGAGUCUGAAUCAGCUUGUGUGUUAGUGGAACGGUCUGGAAAGUCCGACGGUACAGGGUGAUAGUCCCGUACACCAAAAUGCACAGGCUGUGAACUCGAAGAGUAGGGCGGGACACGUGGUAUCCUGUCUGAAUAUGGGGGGACCAUCCUCCAAGGCUAAAUACUCCUGACUGACCGAUAGUGAACCAGUACCGUGAGGGAAAGGCGAAAAGAACCCCGGCGAGGGGAGUGAAAAAGAACCUGAAACCGUGUACGUACAAGCAGUGGGAGCACCUUCGGGUGUGACUGCGUACCUUUUGUAUAAUGGGUCAGCGACUUAUAUUCUGUAGCAAGGUUAACCGUAUAGGGGAGCCGCAGGGAAACCGAGUCUUAACUGGGCGUUAAGUUGCAGGGUAUAGACCCGAAACCCGGUGAUCUAGCCAUGGGCAGGUUGAAGGUUGGGUAACACUAACUGGAGGACCGAACCGACUAAUGUUGAAAAAUUAGCGGAUGACUUGUGGCUGGGGGUGAAAGGCCAAUCAAACCGGGAGAUAGCUGGUUCUCCCCGAAAGCUAUUUAGGUAGCGCCUCGUGAAUUCAUCUUCGGGGGUAGAGCACUGUUUCGGCUAGGGGGUCAUCCCGACUUACCAACCCGAUGCAAACUACGAAUACCGAAGAAUGUUAUCACGGGAGACACACGGCGGGUGCUAACGUCCGUCGUGAAGAGGGAAACAACCCAGACCGCCAGCUAAGGUCCCAAAGUCAUGGUUAAGUGGGAAACGAUGUGGGAAGGCACAGACAGCCAGGAUGUUGGCUUAGAAGCAGCCAUCAUUUAAAGAAAGCGUAAUAGCUCACUGGUCGAGUCGGCCUGCGCGGAAGAUGUAACGGGGCUAAACCAUGCACCGAAGCUGCGGCAGCGACACUAUGUGUUGUUGGGUAGGGGAGCGUUCUGUAAGCCUGCGAAGGUGACCUGUGAGGGUUGCUGGAGGUAUCAGAAGUGCGAAUGCUGACAUAAGUAACGAUAAAGCGGGUGAAAAGCCCGCUCGCCGGAAGACCAAGGGUUCCUGUCCAACGUUAAUCGGGGCAGGGUGAGUCGACCCCUAAGGCGAGGCCGAAAGGCGUAGUCGAUGGGAAACAGGUUAAUAUUCCUGUACUUGGUGUUACUGCGAAGGGGGGACGGAGAAGGCUAUGUUAGCCGGGCGACGGUUGUCCCGGUUUAAGCAUGUAGGCUGGUUAUCCAGGCAAAUCCGGAUAAUCAAGGCUGAGGUGUGAUGACGAGGCACUACGGUGCUGAAGUAACAAAUGCCCUGCUUCCAGGAAAAGCCUCUAAGCAUCAGGUAACAUCAAAUCGUACCCCAAACCGACACAGGUGGUCAGGUAGAGAAUACCAAGGCGCUUGAGAGAACUCGGGUGAAGGAACUAGGCAAAAUGGUGCCGUAACUUCGGGAGAAGGCACGCUGGUGUGUAGGUGAAGCCCCUGCGGGUGGAGCUGAGACCAGUCGAAGAUACCAGCUGGCUGCAACUGUUUAUUAAAAACACAGCACUGUGCAAACACGAAAGUGGACGUAUACGGUGUGACGCCUGCCCGGUGCCGGAAGGUUAAUUGAUGGGGUUAUCCGUAAGGAGAAGCUCUUGAUCGAAGCCCCGGUAAACGGCGGCCGUAACUAUAACGGUCCUAAGGUAGCGAAAUUCCUUGUCGGGUAAGUUCCGACCUGCACGAAUGGCGUAAUGAUGGUCAGGCUGUCUCCACCCGAGACUCAGUGAAAUUGAACUCGCUGUGAAGAUGCAGUGUACCCGCGGCAAGACGGAAAGACCCCGUGAACCUUUACUAUAGCUUGACACUGAACAUUGAGCCUUGAUGUGUAGGAUAGGUGGGAGGCUUUGAAGCGUGGACGCCAGUCUGCGUGGAGCCAACCUUGAAAUACCACCCUUUAAUGUUUGAUGUUCUAACGUUGGCCCCUUAUCGGGGUUGCGGACAGUGUCUGGUGGGUAGUUUGACUGGGGCGGUCUCCUCCCAAAGCGUAACGGAGGAGCACGAAGGUUAGCUAAUCCUGGUCGGACAUCAGGAGGUUAGUGCAAUGGCAUAAGCUAGCUUGACUGCGAGCGUGACGGCGCGAGCAGGUGCGAAAGCAGGUCAUAGUGAUCCGGUGGUUCUGAAUGGAAGGGCCAUCGCUCAACGGAUAAAAGGUACUCCGGGGAUAACAGGCUGAUACCGCCCAAGAGUUCAUAUCGACGGCGGUGUUUGGCACCUCGAUGUCGGCUCAUCACAUCCUGGGGCUGAAGUAGGUCCCAAGGGUAUGGCUGUUCGCCAUUUAAAGUGGUACGCGAGCUGGGUUUAGAACGUCGUGAGACAGUUCGGUCCCUAUCUGCCGUGGGCGCUGGAGAAUUGAGGGGGGCUGCUCCUAGUACGAGAGGACCGGAGUGGACGCAUCACUGGUGUUCGGGUUGUCAUGCCAAUGGCACUGCCCGGUAGCUAAAUGCGGAAGAGAUAAGUGCUGAAAGCAUCUAAGCACGAAACUUGCCCCGAGAUGAGUUCUCCCUGAGACUUUAAGUCUCCUGAAGGAACGUUGAAGACGAUGACGUUGAUAGGCCGGGUGUGUAAGCGCAGCGAUGCGUUGAGCUAACCGGUACUAAUGAACCGUGAGGCUUAACCUU